RNAcentral lists this ribosomal RNA (492 nucleotides) under uncultured bacterium. RNAcentral's name for it is "partial 16S ribosomal RNA". It matches the Rfam family "Bacterial small subunit ribosomal RNA", at positions 29 to 507 of the family's 1533-position model. The record is from RNAcentral.
AGUGAACGCUGGCGGUAGGCCUAACACAUGCAAGUCGAACGGCAGCACAGUAAGAGCUUGCUCUUACGGGUGGCGAGUGGCGGACGGGUGAGGAAUACAUCGGAAUCUACUUUUUCGUGGGGGAUAACGUAGGGAAACUUACGCUAAUACCGCAUACGACCUACGUGUGAAAGCAGGGGAUCUUCGGACCUUGCGCGAUUGAAUGAGCCGAUGUCGGAUUAGCUAGUUGGCGGGGUAAAGGCCCACCAAGGCGACGAUCCGUAGCUGGUCUGAGAGGAUGAUCAGCCACACUGGAACUGAGACACGGUCCAGACUCCUACGGGAGGCAGCAGUGGGGAAUAUUGGACAAUGGGGGCGAGCCUGAUCCAGCCAUACCGCGUGGGUGAAGAAGGCCUUCGGGUUGUAAAGCCCUUUUGUUGGGAAAGAAAAGCAGCAGGUUAAUACCCCGCUGUUCUGACGGUACCCAAAGAAUAAGCACCGGCUAACUUCGUG